UGAGGAAUAUUGGUCAAUGGGCGGAAGCCUGAACCAGCCAUGCCGCGUGCAGGACGACGGCCCUACGGGUUGUAAACUGCUUUUCCGGGGGAAGAAUAACCCCCCUGCGGGGGGGGAUGCCGGUACCCCGGGAAUAAGGAUCGGCUAACUCCGUGCCAGCAGCCGCGGUAAUACGGAGGAUCCUAGCGUUAUCCGGAUUUACUGGGUUUAAAGGGUGCGUAGGCGGGCGCUUAAGUCCGCGGUGAAAGUCUGCGGCUCAACCGUAGGAUUGCCGUGGAUACUGGGGCUCUUGGAUUCGGUCGGGGCGGGCGGAAUGCGUGGUGUAGCGGUGAAAUGCAUAGAUAUCACGCAGAACGCCGAUAGCGAAGGCAGCUCGCCGGGCCGACAUCGACGCUGAGGCACGAAAGCGUGGGGAUCAAACA
RNAcentral lists this ribosomal RNA (422 nucleotides) under uncultured bacterium. RNAcentral's name for it is "bacterial SSU rRNA". It matches the Rfam family "Bacterial small subunit ribosomal RNA", at positions 355 to 774 of the family's 1533-position model. The record is from RNAcentral.